RNAcentral lists this ribosomal RNA (422 nucleotides) under uncultured Puniceicoccaceae bacterium. RNAcentral describes it as "partial 16S ribosomal RNA". It matches the Rfam family "Bacterial small subunit ribosomal RNA", at positions 355 to 774 of the family's 1533-position model. The record is from RNAcentral. Lineage: Bacteria; Pseudomonadati; Verrucomicrobiota; Opitutia; Puniceicoccales; Puniceicoccaceae.
UUUCGAAUCAUUCACAAUGGGGGAAACCCUGAUGGUGCAACGCCGCGUGGGGGAUGAAGGUCUUCGGAUUGUAAACCCCUGUCACAUAGGACUAAACGUGAGGUUCAUAGCCUCACCUGAAUUAACUAUGAGAGGAAGUAGUGGCUAACUCCGUGCCAGCAGCCGCGGUAAUACGGAGACUACGAGCGUUACUCGGAUUCACUGGGCGUAAAGGGAGCGCAGGCGGAUUGAUGUGUUAGAUGUGAAAUCCUGGGGCUUAACUCCAGAACUGCGUCUAAAACUAUCUAUCUAGAGACUUGGAGAGGUAAGCGGAAUUUCUGGUGUAGCGGUAAAAUGCGCAGAUAUCAGAAGGAACACCGAUGGCGAAGGCAGCUUACUGGACAAGAUCUGACGCUCAGGCUCGAAAGCGUGGGGAGCAAAAG